UCGUCUUUCUCGUACGAAAAAACAGAUUUUGUGAAUCUAGGGUUUUUGAUCUGUGUUGAUUCCGGAAUUUGUUGGUUGUAUAAUUAAAUGGAAAAAAGGAUAUUGACGGCUGGGCCGGAGAGAAAGAGAGCACGAGCGGCGCCGGAGAAUGCUGAGGCGGAGGAACCAACACUGGAAUCGGACAUUCUUUCAAGAAGCUUUCAAGCUACUCUUCAACUUCAUAUGGAGAUUCUUUAAGCACUCAAACGUCUCCGAUGAAAUGCCUCAAUUCUGUUGAAGAUGAUACGAAUUCUCUACUUAAAUGCAUCAAUUAUGAUGAUCAAGAUGAUAUGAAUUCUCUACUUAAAUUGCCAUCCCCGGUGAAAUGCAUCAAUUCUGAUGAAGAUGAUAUGGAUUGUAUGUUUAAAACGCCAUCCCCGGUGAAAUGCACCGAUCCUACUACACCUUCGUCUCAUCCUAUUCGAAUAUUGCCAAGAAAACUUGUUAUAGUACCGAGCAAACGAAAGCCUCUUCCAGUCAUUGUACAAUCUCAGAUUCAAGAUUGGCAUCCAUGGAGAUGAUGCGCAGGAAACUGCUUGCAGGCCUACAAAACAGGACUUGAUUCACAACCUAUAUAUUGCUGAUACAAGUAAGUUGCUACUAAAAAACUCAAGGCUAAACAUAUUUAUUACUACUACUGCAACAGACAACAGACAACAGACGAGGUCGAGGUCGAGGAGCAGCUCAAAUUGCUGCAAGGACUUGCUUCAGAGUGGAUUUAUGAGAAGCUUGAGUCGAGUGGGGAUUCACUCAUAGGUCUCAACAGGAUCUUGAGCCCAGAAGCCAUGCAUAGGAGGCUGUCCGAGGCGAUAUGAAACUAUGCAGAUCUUUGUUGUAUUCCACCCUCGUUUCAUCUUAUCAUGCUUAAUACAGACUACUUUUCAAUAUGCAUAAAUUUAUUCAACUUAUUUGAGUAUUUUUAUAGGAGCAAAAUAUAGCACAACAUGAUCAUAUAUUAUGUAUGUUAAUGUUGA
Salvia splendens (bonfire salvia) is the source of this 1013-nucleotide long non-coding RNA. RefSeq lists it as uncharacterized. NCBI's taxonomy places the organism in Eukaryota, Viridiplantae, Streptophyta, Magnoliopsida, Lamiales, Lamiaceae. The transcript has 4 exons. The record is from RefSeq and is a predicted model, not a curated record.